Molecule: long non-coding RNA, 2681 nt
Organism: Lycium ferocissimum
Lineage: Eukaryota; Viridiplantae; Streptophyta; Magnoliopsida; Solanales; Solanaceae
Exons: 4
Source: RefSeq, a predicted model, not a curated record
AUUAUUAAUUUUAGUGACUUAUAGUGCUUUUUACGUAGUUUUCAAAUAUAUAAAUUUUAUUUCAAAAAAAUAAAAGAUUCUAUGUUAAAUCACACGGUCAAACUAAAAAGUUUGACUCUCGAACAGCGAAAAGUGCUAAUUUUUUUGGGACAGAGGGAGUAUAUGUUAAUUUUCAUACCUCAGGAAUAGCUUUCUUUUUUUGGAUCUUUUGUGUUAAUGUAGAUCCACUGAGCGCAUUUUCCUCUGUCAUAUGUUUGAAUCCUGUUUUAAAAUAAAAAAUUGGGGUAUGAUCUUUUUUGGUUUUCACCAAACUAUUCUUUCCGCUGCAUGUGCUGGCUAUUUCUUGAGAUUAAAUAGUGGAAGUAAAUAUUUUGCUCUAAUUCUGUAUUCCAUUUCUCAGUGUUGUUUGCAUGAGCUUUGUGGUGAGUAAAUUUCAACAUUUUCUAUUUUUAAAUUGAGUUUCAUUGCAAAAUUCUUCUUACGACCUUCUUGUGGCAGAUAAUAGUACAUAGAAGUAGAGGCAACGUAACUAGAUCAGUGACAAAGGAUUGGUCGGCAGUUUGCAGUUGAUAAAGGUGAGCUUUUAGCAUUGCACAUGUUGUAUUAUCACCUCAUAAUGCAGCAAAAGUGACAAUUUACAAAAGCCAGACUCUGUUGUCUUGGUAAACUACAGUUAGCUCUUAAAAUACCAAAGGUGAUAAACUUCUUAGAUGUAUAUAAGGCUAAUUCACCAAUUCAUGAUCUUUCAUGUAAUCGCUGAAAGAAGUUAAGCUUCUGCAUCUUGACUAAAGCUUUUUAUGAUGGUAGAAUAUGAUAAGAAAUGCUUGCAUUAUUUGUGAAAUUGAGUAAAUUACUUUAUUUUGGAUUAAUCCAAAUUUAUGAGCGGAAGUUAUCUCUAAAACUAGCUCUUCUCGACAAAGAGAUGGAAAAAAGUAUUGACUAGCUUUUCUCGAUAAGUAGUUUCAUUAGCGUAGAUUUAGGACCAAGCCAAUCUUAAUUAAGAAAAAAGUUGUAUUAAAUAAGGACGGAUACUGGUUGACCGCCUUUUUUAUGAUCUUAUCAGAAGUUCCAUUUGAUAUUUUAUCUAGCUUUCCAUCACAAAUUUUCCUUUAUGCUGAAGUUUGUUGUUCAGCAUUUCAACACCAUAAGUUUCUGGUAAUAGCAUUGUUUACUAUGUUACAUUUUGAGAAAUGACAGCAUUAUGUAUACGGAAACGUCCUAAGUUUCCUUGUGAUUAUCGUUUAAAAUACAUCAUUGACAUUCAAGUUAACAUUUGUGAGGUAUGAGUUAACAUUGCUGUCUAUUUAUUUAAUGCAUUUCCUUUCAGUAGCAAAAAUCGAAAAACAAUUAAACACUGCUGCUCCUUCUAUAUAUAUAUAAUUUCAGUAGAGGUGUAGUUAGAUUCUGUCAGUUAACCAGAUAUUCACCUUGCCUCAUCAUUUUUGCACCAAUUCCACUUCUCACACACCUUAAUUUGUAACUCAUCUUUACUGCACCAAAUAAAAAAGACUGCAUCAUCUACUUUACCAAUUUUUGUUCUUUAAUAGAUUGUAAAUGCAAUGGAUUUUAAAAUUUUAAUACAUGACAUUACCGAAGAUGGAUCUAUUUAGUUGGAAUAUGUGGUUGCACAAUUUUGAAUGCAGGCGCAGGUUUCUGAAGUUGAAAGUCGCUCAAGCGGGGAAAAGGUUACUCUGCUUUGACUAUAACAGAUUUGAUCAAUUUAAUUGAGUUGUGAUAGAGAUUAACUUUGACAAUGAGGGUAAGAAGGUGAAUUCCCAGUUGAUAAAAUUGAGCCUUGACUUGGUCACAUAAUGAGGUAAUUUUUGCCUUCCCUUUGGUGAUGAUCUAGGAUAGUGAUACAUUUGUUUCCUUUCUCUACAGAACUCAUUGACAUCCAGUCUUAAUCCAAGAGAGUAGAGGUCUUAAGAGAAAGUCAUGCGUACAAUAGUGUAAAGAAAGGGCUGAACAGAGAGGAUUUCACUGAACAAUAACACUGGGUACCUUGCAAGAAAAGAACUAGAUAUACAAGGAAAAAGAAGAUUUGCAGUAUUAGGAGGUGAGGAGAUCUCUUUGGUCUACCAAGUCAUUUGUCGAGUGGAUAUAGAAGGUGACUGGCAGAACAUUUGUAUAUCAUAUCUCUUAUCACUUUGAAACAUAAACAGUUAAUUGAGAUUUUGGCAUUUUUGCGGUACCUUAUGGCCUUUUGCUAAAUAUUAUGUGGAGCCAAAAGCACAAAAGAUAGGAGCACCAUCCAUGUAUGAUGAAGAACCAACAAACAUAAAACACUAACUAGGAAAUUUCGGGAGGGUACAUUACACCAAAGGCUUUAAUCAGUAUGCUGUGUGUCCAAAUCCUUUCAGGGUACCUGUUCUGGUCAAUUGCUUAGCAUUUUAUUAAAAGGAAUUCUUGGCUCAGCUUUCUUAUGUGGAGACCCAGCUGAGAUAUGUGUUGCCAACAGCUGUUAAAGUCUAGAUUUCACCCAAUUGUAGCAUAGCUCACGCAAAAGUUGGACCACCUACAUGAACAUUGACAAUCUCACUGUUUUUGUCUUUCUAGCAUGAUAUUUCCUUUUCUUUGGAUAAUGUUACAACACAAUUAGAACCACCAUGAAAUUCUAAUAUUAGAUCUUAUAUGUACAGCGAUGUUGGGGAAAAGCCCGUGCUCAGCACGGGCACAGGCCA